This 251-nucleotide ribosomal RNA is filed under the name uncultured bacterium. RNAcentral describes it as "partial 16S ribosomal RNA". It matches the Rfam family "Bacterial small subunit ribosomal RNA", at positions 524 to 776 of the family's 1533-position model. The record is from RNAcentral.
UACGAAGGGGGCUAGCGUUGCUCGGAAUCACUGGGCGUAAGGGUGCGUAGGCGGGUCUUAAGUCAGGGGUGAAAUCCUGGAGCUCAACUCCAGAACUGCCUUUGAUACUGAGGAUCUUGAGUUCGGGAGAGGUGAGUGGAACUGCGAGUGUAGAGGUGAAAUUCGUAGAUAUUCGCAAGAACACCAGUGGCGAAGGCGGCUCACUGGCCCGAUACUGACGCUGAGGAGCGAAAGCGUGGGGAGCGAACAGG